GAAGGUACAGCUUAGUGGUCAUAGCGUUUGAACUGUUUCCAAGAAGCGCGGGUUCAAAUCACGCUACGUUAA
Molecule: transfer RNA, 72 nt
Filed under: Heliconius melpomene (postman butterfly)
Lineage: Eukaryota; Metazoa; Arthropoda; Insecta; Lepidoptera; Nymphalidae
Description: tRNA HMEL003877
Rfam family: tRNA
About the family: Transfer RNA (tRNA) molecules are approximately 80 nucleotides in length. Their secondary structure includes four short double-helical elements and three loops (D, anti-codon, and T loops).
Source: RNAcentral